This 1194-nucleotide long non-coding RNA is filed under the name Taeniopygia guttata (zebra finch). RNAcentral's name for it is "lncRNA (ENSTGUG00000026022.1)". The record is from RNAcentral. Lineage: Eukaryota; Metazoa; Chordata; Aves; Passeriformes; Estrildidae.
GAUUACAUAAAGAUGCAGAAUGCAAUAUUUAAAUUUAAUUAUUUUAGCAACCUUUUUUCAUUAAGUUUUAUAGGAAACAUAUAAUCGCUACAAGUGGAAUAUAAUUUGCCAGUAUUUCAUUGUACAGCUGGGGGUCUCCUCACUCUAGGACACUUAUUCUAGCACUACAAGGAAACUGUAGCAUUUUGCUACAUUUUCCAUUCAAAGAUCUGAGUCUUAAUUACAAGCACUUUAGUGAAAUAACCCCUUGUAGGGUUUAAUUCCAUUCUGAAAAGGCAAGAUGAGUGAUUUUUGCUGUCCUGCACCAACCUAAUGGUGUAUCACAGGAUGCUUCCUUUUAUUUGCAGCUUUGUCUUCAACCAGUCUUCCAUGACUACCUCUAGAUAUUUUCUUCUCAGAGGUCCUGUGUUGAGACUUCUUUAGAUUUUCAAUUUGUUGGUAUGUCUGUGGAAGCAAACCAUAGAGUGUCAAUUCACACUCUCAGGAGUUAACAGAGAGCUCUAAUUGCACAGCAGUAUAAGCAAUGUAUCUUGAAAAUUAUUGUUUUACUUUAUUAGAAGUGCAGUAGACAGGGCUUUUUAGAAUGGUCUCCUUAUAAUUAAAAUGCUGCAAAACCUGGAGGUUUUAGUGACAGUGACACCUGCUACUGCUUCUGUCCCUAGCCAGUACUGUUCAUGGUCCCUGGUUCCACAAUAGGAUCUAUGAAUGUUCAUAGGUACUACGUCACAGCUGGUAAUGUAGGUCAGAUGGAUCAUGUAAUCAGAAACACUUUUACUGUACCACUCUUUGUCAGUGGUCUCCAUGUUUGGAGAGUCAGUGGAGCUUAAAAUGCAUAUCCUUUUUCUUUGCCUUUUGUUGCAGGAGUCUAGUCCUCUUGAUUUGAUAGUGUGCCAUUUUGAAAAUGUUACUGUGCCUGUUCCUUAGCCUCACACAAAUUAUUUAUUAUUUAUAGUCUCAUAGGAAAUUUCCUCUGAAUUUUAACUACCAGUUGUUGUUUGUUUAUUAUAUAGGCAUUUAUUAAUCUGUCCCCAUUUGUUGUGGCAACUGCUUAAAAUAGAAGGGUUUUGCUCUGAUAGACAGAAAUAUAUUGUAAGAGAAAAAUACCGUAACUACUUUAAAAUGUCAAUUUCAACAGAAAAAUCAAAGGUUUGCUAAGCAGGAAAAGAGAAAAGUCCCCUGGGAAGAAAAAAAAAA